This 1484-nucleotide long non-coding RNA is filed under the name Salmo salar (Atlantic salmon). RNAcentral describes it as "lncRNA (ENSSSAG00000119509.1)". The record is from RNAcentral. Lineage: Eukaryota; Metazoa; Chordata; Actinopteri; Salmoniformes; Salmonidae.
GAUUAAGUAUAGUCUGGCCCAGGAGUGUGAAGGUGAACGGAAAGGCUGGAGCAACGAACCGCCCUUGCUGUCUCUGCCUUGCCGGUUCCCCUCUUUCCACUGGGAUUCUCUGCCUCUAACCCUUUUACAGGGGCUGAGUCACUGGCCUACUGGUGUUCUUCCAUGCCGUCCCUGGGAGGGGUGCGUCACUUGAGUGGGUUGAGUCACUGACGUGGUCUUCCUGUCUGGGUUGGCGCCCCCCCUUGGGUUGUGCCAUGGCGGAGAUCGUUGUGGGCUAUACUCGGCCUUGUCUUAGGACGGUAAGUUGGUGGUUGGAGUCAUCCCUCUAGUGGUGUGGGGGCUGUGCUUUGGCAAAGUGGGUGGGGUUAUAUCCUGCCUGUUUGGCCCUGUCCGGGGGUAUCAUCGGAUGGGGCCACAGUGUCUUCUGAUCCCUCCUGUCUCAGCCUCCAGUAUUUAUGCUGCAGUAGUUUAUGUGUCGGGCGGCUAGGGUCAGUCUGUUACAUCUGGAGUAUUUCUCUUGUCUUAUCCGGUGUCCUGUGUGAAUUUAAAUAUGCUCUCUCUAAUUCUCUCUUUCUGUCUUUCUCUCGGAGGACCUGAGCCCUAGGACCAUGCCUCAGGACUACCUGGUAUGAUGACUCCUUGCUGUCCCCAGUCCACCUGGCCGUGCUGCUGCUCCAGUUUCAACUGUUCUGCCUGCGGCUAUGGAACCCUGACCUGUUCACCGGACGUGCUUGUUGCACCCUCGACAACUACUAUGAUUAUUAUUAUUUGACCAUGCUGGUCAUUUAUUAACAUUUUAAUAUUUUAACAUCUUGACCAUGUUCUGUUAUAAUAUCCACCCUGCACAGCCAGAAGAGGACUGGCCACCCCUCAUAGCCUGGUUCCUCUCUAGGUUUCUUCCUAGGUUUUUGGCCUUUCUAGGGAGUUUUUCCUAGGGAGUGUUUCCUAGCCACCGUGCUUCUUUCACAUGCUUUGCUUGCUGUUUGGGGUUUUAGGCUGGGUUUCUGUACAGCACUUUGAGAUAUCAGCUGAUGUACGAAGGGCUAUAUAAAAAUAAAUUUGAUUGAUUUGAUUUGAUUGAGACCGGUGUGUCUGUUGUCCCUUGUGUCUGUGCUUUUGUAGAAUACUGGUUGCGGGGUGGAGAUGUAGUUAAUUAUUCCUUGCCCACAAACUUUCGACCACCCAUUAGAGAUGAUUGCGAUACAGUCUGCUUUCUCUAUGAUUUGCUUAAAAUCUGCAUCCAGCAAAUGAGUAGAUAUAGCAUGGCUGGGUGGAGGGGUGUAUGCUCGGCGAAGAACAUUCAGAAAUCUCUUCCAAUACACAUUGCCUGUGAGCAUUAGAGGUGAACCAGUUGCAUAUACAGCUCGAGCAAGACAUUCAUCGUCAUUUCUCUGACUACGUUCCUCCAUUGAGUCAAAAAAACUUCUGAUUCCAGGAGGACCAUGAGCUGUUGCUAUCGAUAAGGUGUCUGAUUCAUCAUUUUC